GGGAGUACUUCUUGAUCAUUUCUACGAACGUAAACCCCCAAUUCGAAUUCCUUUUAUGUACAGAAAUAUCCUCUUGGAUAACUUACAUAAUCUCAAUUACUAAUCCUUUGUGUAUCUUGUCUUCCUAACCAUCCACUCAGUUUUUCUUUCAACCUCCCGUUGUGAAAAUCCAUCUAUGGUAAUAGACAGUAAAAACUCCAUACAGUUGAUCUUUUGAACCCGAUUCAAGCUAUCAUGACAAUUCACCAAUCUUGGGGUAAACAAUCUCUAUUGCUUAUGUUUACUUUUUUCACCAUUUGAUUCUUGUAAUCUUGGGGUAAACAAUCUCUAUUGCUUAUGUUUACUUUUUUCACCAUU
RNAcentral lists this long non-coding RNA (357 nucleotides) under Nicotiana benthamiana. Its description in RNAcentral is "long non-coding RNA (NBEN_LNC019599)". The record is from RNAcentral. Lineage: Eukaryota; Viridiplantae; Streptophyta; Magnoliopsida; Solanales; Solanaceae.